CCGUAGCUCAGCGGUUAGAGCAGCGGACUCAUAAUCCGUCGGUCGGUGGUUCGAAUCCACCCGGGC
RNAcentral lists this transfer RNA (66 nucleotides) under marine eukaryotic metagenome. It matches the Rfam family "tRNA", at positions 5 to 66 of the family's 71-position model. From Rfam's summary of the family: Transfer RNA (tRNA) molecules are approximately 80 nucleotides in length. The record is from RNAcentral.